AGAACGAACGCUGGCGGCAUGCCUAAUACAUGCAAGUCGAACGAACUCUUCGGUGUUAGUGGCGCACGGGUGCGUAACGCGUGGGAAUCUGCCCUUGGGUUCGGAAUAACAGUUGGAAACGACUGCUAAUACCGGAUGAUAUCGAAAGAUCAAAGAUUUAUCGCCCAGGGAUGAGCCCGCGUAGGAUUAGCUAGUUGGUGAGGUAAAGGCUCACCAAGGCGACGAUCCUUAGCUGGUCUGAGAGGAUGAUCAGCCACACGUGGGACUGACGACACGGCCCAGACCUCCGUACGGGAGCAGCAGUAGGAAUAUGGACAAGUGGGCGCAAGCCUAGAUCAGCAAGUCGACCGCGUGAGCG
RNAcentral lists this ribosomal RNA (358 nucleotides) under uncultured soil bacterium. RNAcentral describes it as "bacterial SSU rRNA". It matches the Rfam family "Bacterial small subunit ribosomal RNA", at positions 26 to 407 of the family's 1533-position model. The record is from RNAcentral.